RNAcentral lists this long non-coding RNA (3099 nucleotides) under Canis lupus familiaris (dog). RNAcentral's name for it is "lncRNA (ENSCAFG00040002489.1)". The record is from RNAcentral. Lineage: Eukaryota; Metazoa; Chordata; Mammalia; Carnivora; Canidae.
AUGCUUCUCUCGGGUACCAGCCGUUGGGACUUUAGAUUCUCAAUUAUAGAUUUUGGUGUUUCUUUAAAAAGCGUUGAGGCGGUUCCCCGUUCUGCUGGAGCUCUGAGGCUUGAUCUGAAGGCAAGGCCCGGUCCUCUUCGGUUGCUUGUUCUCCAGUGCAAGGGCCUCACGGUGUUGAAGAGAAGCAGAGAGGGCCGCCCUCUGUCUCGUUUCUGGUUGUUAGAACGCCUUUCUGCGCUGCCCCACUCGUCACCAAGCUUGCUGAGUUGUGUCAGGGAUACUGAUACGAAGCUGCAAACCCCAUGUUCUUUGAGUCAACAAAUCACACAUUCAGUGAGUCCCAGGUAUUUAGAUUAAGCAUGGCUCAAAAAGUACAAGCCUAUGCCAGAGAUGGGGCGGUGGGGGGCUCUUACCAUAAAUGUUCAUUAGUGAGAGGCUUGGGAAGGUGAGGGCUCUUGACCCAGGCCGAGGGGGAGUCAAGGACAAAGGCUGGAGACAUUUGUAAGACAUUUGAAGAUGCCAAGAAUGCAAAUCUCUGUUUUCUUUCUUUUCUUUUCUUUCCUUUUCUUUUCUUUUCUUUCUUUUAUUUUCUUUCCUCUUUCUUUCUUUCUCUUUCUUUCUUUCUUUCUUUCUUUCUUUCUUUCUUUCUUUUUCCUUCUUUCUUUCAGAUUUAUCCAUUUUAGACAGAGGGAGAGCACACGAGCAGGGGGAGGGGCAGCGGGAACCCCAAGCAGACUCUCCCUGAGCUGGGAGCCCCCUGCGGGGCUCAGUCCCACAACCCUAAGACCGUGACCUGAGUCAGGACCAAGAGUCAGAUGCUCAACCGACUGAUGCAUCCACCUGCCCUUCUUUCUUUUAUUUUUAAAAAGUCAUAGUGAAAUACACAUAAUGUAAAAGUUUACUGUCUUAACUAUUUUUAACUGUACGGCUUACUGACAUUAAGUACAUCCGCGUUGUUGUGCAGCCAUCGCCACCGUCCACCUGCAGAGCUCGGGUCAUUUUGCAAAACUGACCCCGUCCCUGUUCAACAAUGACAUUCGUGACUGACGUAUUUCAUUCGGAGCAAUGUCCUCAAGGUGCAUCCAUGUGGCAGCACAUGUCAGACUUAAUUCCUUUUUCAAGCUGAAAGACACUGCAUUUUAUAUAAAACACCACACUUUGUUUAUCCAUUCCUCCCCUGAUGGACACCAGGGUUGCUCCAGCUUUGGGCUGCUGUAAACACGAGUGCGCGGGUGUCCGUUUGAGUCCCUGCUUUCGUUUCGUGUGGGUACGAACUGAGCAAUGGACUUUCUGGGUCCUGUGCUAAUUCUGAAUUUUUUAUUUUUUUGAGGAAUCGCCAUAGUGAUUCAAAGCAGCUGCACCACUUCACAUUCCCAUCAACAACGCACAAAGAUUUUUGCCAACACGUGCUAGUCCCCAUUUUUACGACAGUCGCCAUCCUAGUGGGCGUGAGGUGCUAUCUCAUCGUGGCUUUGAUUCCCAUUCACCUAAUAAUUAAUAACAUGGAAUCUUUUCACAGGCAUAGCAGUCCUUUGUAUGUCUUCUUUGGAGAAAUGUCUAUUCGAGGCUUUGCCUGUCUUUAGUUGGGUUGUUUUUUGUUGUAGGAGCUCCUUAUACAUUCUGGAUAGUCACUCCUUAUCGGACAUAGAAUUUCCAAGUGUUUUCCUCCAUUCCAUAGGAUGCUUUUCACUCUGCUGAUUGUGUAUUUCGAUGCACGGAAGUCUCAAAUUUUGACGCAGCCUUGUUCAUCUACUUUUAAUUCUGCUGCCUGUGCUUUCGGUGUCAUAUCCCAGAAAUCUCUGCCAAAUCCCAAACCAUGAACAUUUCUCCUGUAUUUUCUUCUAAGAGUUUUACAGUUUUAACUCUUGCGUUUAGGUGUUUGGUCCAUUUUGAGUUAAUUUUUGUAUAUGGCGUACGUCAGGGUGCAGCUCCCUUCUCCUGUUGGUGGAAAGUCAUUUUUCCCAACACCGUUUGUUGAGAAGACUGCUCUUGCCCUAUCUAGUGGUCUUGGCACCCUUGGUGGCAAUCGCUUGACUGUGAAUGUGAGGAUUUCUUUCUGGGCUCUCCACUCCACUGUUUUCAUCUGUUUGUUGGUUUGUCAGCACUGCGCCGUUUGCAGAGCUGCCGCUUAGUUUUGAGAUCCGCAAGCUUGAGGCCUCCAGCUUUGUUCUUCUUUUUCAAGAUUGUUUUGGCUGCUUGGGGCCCCUGGACAUUCCAUAUAGAUUUUAGGAUGGGUUUUUUCUAUUUCUGCAAAGAGUGUCAUUGGGGUUCCGACAAAGAUCUGUUGGCUCUGUGAGAGAAUGUAAACCGUGACGUAGGUCGGGUCAAGGAGCCUUUGUGUCGACGUUCGUCGCUGUUCUAGACCUGACGCAGGGACUGGGGGAAGUUUUAUCUCGGGAGCUCCGUGUCCCCUGGAACUCAGACACUCCCUUCCGAACAGUCUCCUGUGGAAUUCGACGAUCUUGAGGCUACGCACACCAACUGUUUGUCUUGGGAAACUGCACUUUCUGUCACCUCGCUUGUCUAGGAGGGGAUUUCCAGACCUCCAGCCACGAGAGAACUGCGAGACCUUUGUGUGGAUUUGUCAGCUCAGGCGUGACUGCAGCAAACUGGUAACUCUCUCAGAUUCAGUUCUUAGCAGCACACGUGACAAAUUUCUAUUUAUACUCCUUAUCACAGAAGGGAAGCUCCCACCCACUGCAAGGUUGCCGAAAGACUCAUAAAUGGGUGUUGAGUUUUGUCAAAUACUUAAUUUUUUUUUUGGUACUUACUGAAAGGGUCUAUGAGAUUUCCCUCAUUUAACGUAUAAAGGUAGUAAAUUGCAUUAAUUGAUUUUCUAGGCUAAACCCCUUGCAACCUCAGGAUAAGUCUAGGCUGUUGGUGACACAGCACCUUUCCUUUAUAGUGCUCAUUCAGUUUCCUAAGUUUUGUUUAGGAUUUGGCCUCCUGUUCAUGCGUGCUGAGGUAGUUGGCCUUCACGGAUGACCCCAUCCUCAAAGGCCAGCCGUGACGCCCAGGACUCCCGCACCACGAGGCAGGCCCCUUCCCCUCCGACUGGCCCCGCGCUGCAGCCCAGUCUAAACAGUCGAGGAGGCAGAC